This 5723-nucleotide long non-coding RNA is filed under the name Homo sapiens (human). RNAcentral's name for it is "HSALNT0323944". Lineage: Eukaryota; Metazoa; Chordata; Mammalia; Primates; Hominidae. The record is from RNAcentral.
CGGGGUUUCACCAUGUUGGCCAGGCUGGUCUCGAACUCCUGACCUCGUGAUCUGCCUGCCUUGGGCUCCUGAGUGUUUUCAGAUAAGUAGAUAUUAAGUGACUGACUGAGUAAAGGGAUACACUGGAUCUAUGGAAGUCUUGAUCCAAAAAGCUCUCCAUUGUCCAGUCAGACUCCCUUUUCCAUCUCCAGGGCAGACCAGGGCAUGGUAUAAACUGACUCCACUCCUUGUGUGUAAUACAGUGUCUUCCUAGAGAGGGCGUCUGUCAUUCCACCCCCAGGGACUGCUUGGCAUCUGUGUGGCAGGGGCCAUGCUGUUCCCCGCUGGGAGCACCAUCCUACAGUAAUCUCUGUGCAGGAUGCUAUUAUAAGAAAGACUUGGGACUUUGUCCCCACUCUGCAACCUCACACCCCAAACUGGGAAGGUGCUGAGAAACCGAAGAUUGGCUCGGACAAGUCCAGCUUGGCCAGUAGAUGACUCUAUUGAGGGCCCUCCUGGGUGGCGGCAGGACAGCUCUAGAGGUUCGCACUGCUGCCAUCACUAAGCAAAGUCUCUGGUUCCUGGCCUGCUGUGUGUGAUGGGACUGCCUUCCUGGGUAGGUUCCCAGAUACUCCCAGGGACACACGCUCCUCGCUGGGCCCCCCUGGCCUUGGCUCCUUGCCUGGCCUUCAGGGUUCAGGCAGUGGACAUCCACCCCACGUGACAUGGUGGGACACCUGUCACACCACCGAUGCCCCUGCAGAUGGGCCACGCAACAGCCCUCGGGCCUUCCUGUCUCAGAGCAGGGCUGAUCACAGUCAGGCCCACUGCAGUGGAGAAAGACUGUGCAGAGCUAGACGCUGGACUCGGAUCCUCUCUAGCGUGGGACAGGCACUGGGCACCCAGGUCAGCUGCAGUUCCUGAGAGAGGGCAGCCCCAGAGUCAGAAUCAAGGUGUCAAUAAUAGGAGAAACGAUGGUGGGGAGGAGACCAAGGCAUUAAUAUAGGAACUCUGUAUACUUUCCAGUCAAUUUUUCCAUAAAACUAAAACUGCUCUAAAAAAGGAGUCUGUUAAUUUUUUAAAAUCUCAAAAAGAAUGUGGCUGGUGCCACAAUGAACAAUUUGAGUGAGAAGCUACUCAACGAGGUCAGAGGCAUCAGAGAGGAAGAACACAGCAGCCUGUUUUCUUUGCUGCUCUUUACCGUUAGAAAGAACACUUUUACAACAGACUCUGUUUGAGGACAAACGCUCCACAUUUUUGCCCGCUGGCAGCAGUCAUAAAUUAUGAGAUUUCUGAGGGGCACAAAACUGCAGCGGUCUAAACCAGGCAACAAAAAUCAGCCAAGUCCUUAUCAGGAUCCCCUACAAAUUCUAUUGACUUUUUUGGAUCUGUUUGUCCCUAGGUGUGAACUAGGGAAAAGUCAGGCGAGUCUGCCUUGCUAGUAUAUUUAAAAGAGGAUCUUGGAGAAUUUGAAAGAAAAUGUGGAAGAAGAAAUGACAGUGCUUGGUGAAAGUCAGCAGAAGGGCUUGAUAAUGGAACAGACUAAGGGUGGUGGAUAGUUUUAAGGUUGAGAGAGAAAUGGAAUUAAAAAAAAGGGAGAUAUUCCUGGGGGCUUGAAGCAAGAAGCAGCAGCCGAGAGCAGCGCUGAUCAGGAUGUGAAGGGAGCUUGGUGCGGAGGGCAGUGCUUCCUAUGAGAAAAAGUCCAGUGGUCAAUCUUUUGGGAAGGAGCUGGUGGGAUGAGGGGGCAGCUGGACUGACCUGAGUGCUGUUGUACUGUCUGACCAUCUCCUUUGUAAACAGACGCUCCACACUCAUGCUCAGAGCAGCAUUAUUCACAGCAGCCAGGAGGGGGACGUCGCCCAGGUGUUCCUCGGUGGAUGAAUGGAUAAAGAAAAUGUAAACACACAGUGGAAUCUUACUCAGCCUUGAAAAGGAAGGAAAGUCCAUCCAACACAUGCUACUGCAUGGACGAACUUUGGACAGUGAGCUAAGUGAAAGGAGACAGUCACAAAAGGACAAAUACCAGAUGAUCCCACCUGCGCGAGAUGAUAACAAAACACCUAUUUCUUUCCAGUUGGGAGGACAGCCAUUCUCAUCGGUAUAAUGAACGUAUUGUAAGCUGUGACUUUUACAAAGUCUGAGGGAAACCAAUCUGCAAUCUUGACAGAUACGAUCUUUCCAGAUGCACUGUUCGUUUACGGCGGCAAGAGAGCUCAAUUAAUUUCUGAGGGAGGACGGCAGGAUGCGACCCCUUGUGCGUGGCCUAGGAGGAACUGUCCCUGUGUGAAUUUAUGUUCUGGUAAUUUAAAAAGAUUUAUAUUAAGCUUUUCUUUCAUUUUGAGAGUAGAUUAAAAUUCUAAUGGAAACCAUUUGUAUGCAUUUGUUGAAUUGAAGAGUAUUUAUGGCUGUGUAAAAAAAAUGCUGCAAAAUUCUGCCGAUAAUAAAGUCAGUGAAGCAAGAAUAAGUGUAAAAACAGGAAGGAAAUACGCGAUAGAAACCAUACUGUAUUAUACAAGUAUAAUGAGGGAGGCAAGCCGAGCAGAACGGGGCAGGGAUUAGGCCCCCGGAUGGGAUAGUUUUUCUUAUUUAGUGUAAGGCUUUUGUAGCCCUUUUAUGACUUAAAACAAAAUUUAAAUUUUGAAACAGGCCAGGUCAGUCUGCACAGACCCCAUGGCCACAUCACUGUGUCACAUCAUUCUUGAACUCCUGCCGGUGUCUAGGACAAACAGGCAGGAAAGAAAAUCCAAGCGGCGUCUCAGAGAAAAGAUGCUGAUGGCAGGAAAAGAAGACCCAUGAAACAGGAGGCGGGGGUCAGCGAGCAAGGUGAAAAUCAGAGCCCCGGAGUGCAGUGCAGGUGGAAGAGAGGUAGCAAAACCAGGGAAGUCGCCGUGCUCGGGACAGUCCAGUGUGUCCCUGGCAUCCCCAGUCAUUGCCGUGGCCACCUGAUCAGAACCUGUACAGAAGCUGCCCCAUCUCCUCCACGGUGAGGGCCAAGUUGCAUGUGCCACAGCCCUGUCGGUGACCUUUCUGCGGGCUGGGGAAGCAGAGACAACGGCCUGACAAUCUGCAGGCACAGCCAUCCAAGGGGACAGGGUCCAUGCAACAGCCACCAGAGAAAGCUCCUCACUGCCACCUUUGCAGAGGGAGAAAAGCAGAAAGCAUCGUGGAGGCCCUUUAUCAUGUUGGAAGGCCAGAGACAUUUGGCAUUCCGUCAAGGUCCAUCUUAGAGUUGAGAGAGAGUUUCACCAGGAAACUCACAUUCUCUCAGAACUAGCAGCCGUGAUCGCAUGUCGAAGUCAGGCAACGCCAAGCGUGAUGGUUAACAGCGCUAAGACAGGAGAAAAUGGAAAUUCCCUGAGAGUCCACUGCUCUGCUCCUGCGGCGGUGCUUUUCCCCCUCGUUGUAAGCAUGCUCUUUACCAGAGCUGCACGGAUGUCAUAAACUGCCUCACGAUGCACUAGAGCAGAAUCGUGCGUUAGCAAAUUUCACAGAUGCAAAGUGGGAUUUCUGUCAAUGGAAGCCUGCAUGGAAAAUACGGAACAGCUUAAGAAAGUACUGUCUUCUCUCAAAAUUCCACAGGAGCCUGAAAUGCAGGGGUUCCGGCCUAGGCGUUUUUUGAGGCAAAUAACGUCGCCACACGGCCGAGAUACAGGCCCCUUUUUGCCCCAUGAGACUUACUGGCCUCAGAGUCCGGCCGCUUCUGUUUUGUUUCUUCAUGUAUCCUUGGCUUCUAGCGCAGUUCCUGGUACACAGCAGGCGCUCAAUACAUAUUUGCUGAGCUAAGCAAAUAUGUCCUAGGCCCUGUGGAAGAUACGACAUGAGGAAGACCAGGUCCCUGCCAAAAAGGCACCGAGGGCCCAGGCUGGGGAGGGUAGUGCUGACAUCGAGUAGGCCUUCAGCUCUGACCCCAGCUUCAUUUUAAGUGACUAGGAACAAAUUCUCAAAACUUCUUUUCUAUCAACUCUUCUUCACCCCCAAUAUCACAGCACAACUGUCUGUCAUUGAUGGAGUUCCUGCAAUAAGACAAGCGCUAGAAGUUUACCAUAUUUGUAUCCUUACUGGAUUCCCAAAUUAAUCCUAGUAAGCAAGUGACAUGAUUGUUUUUAGUAGAGACAGGGUUUCACUUUGUUGGCCAGGCUAGUCUUGAACUCCUGACCUCAAGUGAUCCACCCACCUCAGCCUCCCAAAGUGCUGGGAUUAGGAAAAUGAAUACUUUUGCAAGCACAAUGACAGGAGUGUCAAAGGAGGUAGGCUCCACACUCUGAUGUCUCUUUAUCAGUGAGGCCUUUUCUGACUCCCUCACAUGAAGAGCAAACUCACUUCCCUUGUGCCAAAGCACUCAACAUAUAUGACAUCCCACACGGGGUAGGCUGAAUCGUGGCCCUUAAAGUAUGUCCAUGUUCCAAUCCUUAGAACAUGUGAAUGUAUUACCUUAUGUGGCAAAAUGGACUUUGCAGACAUGAUUAAGUUAAGGAUCUUGAGAUUUCAGGAAAAUUAUCUUGGAUCAUUCAGGUAGGCCUGACAUAAUCACAAGAGCCCUUACAAGAGAGAGGCAGGAGGCCAGAGGCAGAGAGCUACACUGCGGAGCUGCUUUGCAGAUGGAGGAAGGGGCCACCGAGACCUGAGAAAGUCAAGGAGACAGAUUCUCCCCUGGAGCCUCCAGAGGGAACCAGCCCUGCUCACACCGUCAUUUCAGCCCUGCAAGACUUGUUUGGGCUUCUGACGUCAAGAACUGGGACAGAAUGAAUUUGUGAUGUUUUAGGCCACUAGAUCUGUGGUAAUGUGUUAUAGCAGAAAUAGGAAACUAACACAACUCAUCUCUACUUGUGUAUAUGUUUGUUAUCCGUCUUCCUCUGCUGGGACAUGAAAUCCGCAACAAGUGGAGGCAAAGCCAGGGACUUUGUCUAUUAUGUUGACUGGCAUCCUUAGUGCUCAGAACAGAGCUCAGAAUAAUAAAUAUUUGUUGAAUGAGCAAAGACGGAGGGGGCAGUCGCAGGAAGGGGGCCUACCGCGUGGCUAAGGGCCCUGAGGUAUGAAAGAUCUGAGAUGCUGGUGGACGUGGCUGCUUCCCGAGCUGAACUGGGGAAGUGGUGGGGAGGUGGGAGAUGUCGGGGAGCUGAUGCUGGGGCAGUUUAUACUUUAUUCUGCAAAUGAAGAAUUAUUGAUGGGUUUCAUGUAGAGUCAUGAUCAUAUUUCUUGAUUGCGUUUUUUUUUUGUUUUGUUUUGUUUUGUUUUUUUGAGACAGAGUCUCACUCUGUCGCCGAGGCUGGAGUGCAGUGGUGCGAUCUUGGCUCACUGCAACCUCCGCCUCCUGGAUUCAAGCUUCCCGAGUAGCUGGGAUUACAGGUGCAUGCCACCAUGCCCGGCUAAUUUUUGUAUUUUUAGUAGAGACGGAGUUUCACCAUGUUAGUCAGGCUGGUCUCAAACUCCUGACCUCGUGAUCCACCCACCUCAACCUCCCAAAGUGCUGGGAUUACAAGCGUGAGCCACUGCGCCUGGCCUCCUGAUUGCUUUUUAAGUAAUUUUUUAAAAAUAAUUUUUCUCUUUAUUAUUAAAUGUUAGAAAUAUAUGGAAACGUGGGCAAAAAGUAAAAAUCACUCAAAUCUCAUUCCUAGAGUUAGUCACUAUUAAUAUUUUGGUGUAUGUGUAUUUCUUCCUUCAACAUUCAGAUUAUAUACUUUUUUGAAACUGGCUUUUUUCUCUUAAUGUGAAUUUCUCCAUGUCAUUAAAUAUUCUCCUAAAAA